AUGUCUGUAAAGCACAGUUUCACUUUCCAAAGCAGAGGGAGCAAACAUGCACUGAAAAGUCCACCAGCAGCUUGUAAGAACCCAUAGGACUCCUCCAGUUCUUCCUCUGAGUAUCCCAUGCCUCUCCUUCCAGUUCGGAAGGCCUCAUACUGUCCAACAACAAGAAAGAGGGGGGGCGGUGCACUGAGGGGUAAGCAGGUGGAUUAAAAAGUUACCAAGUCGUCAAAUAUACUGACCCGUUCUUGCAGGGUGGUAUUCUUUAUCAAGAAAGCAGAGUUGUAUCUGAAAGACUGCUUGGACUCCUCAUACAUGUACAUGUUCUGCAGUGGAGGCAGAAUACUGUUGUCGAAGGGCUCAGAACCUGGUAGUACAGGUAACAAAACACCUGGUGGUUGGAACAGGAUGAAUAUUAAAUAGUGACUUUACCGCAGGGUUGUAAAUUGUUAUGUUUUGUACCAACAGUUGCCAUGCAUUUGUAACUACCCAUAUUGAUAUAUUAUAUAAUUGUUUCGAUUAUAUUCUAGGCUAUUCUAUACUAGGUGCCUUGCAUUGGUAACUACCACAUGUAUGAUUGAAAAUACUAUUACAUUCUAUUCUAGGUGUCACACAUUUGUAACAACCAUACUGAUUCUAUUCUGUUUUCAAUUCUAUUCUAGGUGUUAUGCAUCUGUAAUAACCAUAUUGAUUCUAUUCCAUUUUCAAUUCUAUUCUAGGUGUCAUGCAUCUGUAAUAACCAUAUUGAUUCUAUUCCAUUUUCAAUUAUAUUCUAGGUGUCAUGCAUCUGUAAUAACCAUACUGAUUCUAUUCCAUUUUCAAUUAUAUUCUAGGUGUGUUAUGCAUUUGUAACAACCAUAUUGAUUAUAUUUCGUCUUCAAUUC
Oncorhynchus mykiss (rainbow trout) is the source of this 878-nucleotide non-coding RNA. The record is from RefSeq and is a predicted model, not a curated record. Lineage: Eukaryota; Metazoa; Chordata; Actinopteri; Salmoniformes; Salmonidae.